CCCGCGCUCGCCUCCGCUCCGUUCCCUGGCGGGACUGGGCGAGAGCCCGAGCGGCAGCGGCGCAGGGCUGAGCCCCGGGGCGGAGCUGGCGGCGGCCCAGAGGAGGCGGCACGGCCGCAGCAGAGCCGGGGCUCAGGGGCACAGCGAGGCUCGGCCGGCGGAGCGGCGCCAUGCGGCGGGCUCGGGCCGCGGGGCUGCCGGCGCUGGCCGCGCUGCUGCUCGUGGCUGUGGCCAGAGCCCAGGUAGAGCAGGAGCCUUUCCUGGAGACCACCGAGGGCACCGGCAUCAACAUCACCUGCUCACAUCCCCAAAUCCAGACCGGCCAAACGAUCUACUGGUACCGUCAGCUGCCGGGCCGAGCACCCGAACUCUUCGUGAGCAUUUUCAAAGACUCCAAAGAGCUGCCGGACAGUGCGGGCCAUGUGCGGGUGUCGCCAGAUCGGCGUUCCAGCGCGCUGUGGCUGGCUGUGCCCCGGCGCGGGGACGCGGCCGUGUAUUACUGCGCGCUGGGGGCCACGGGCAGAGGAGCCGGGGCUGCGGCCGGGCACGAACCGCCGCGGGCGGGGCCGGGCGGGGCCAGCAGGGGCCGCUGCCGCUCCGCCCGCCGGGGCCGCCUCGCCCCGCACGUCCCGGGCUGCCGGCACCGACACCGGCACCGGAACCGACACCGGCACCGGGACCGACACCGGCAAAUGGACCGACACCGGCACUGUCACCAGAACCGGCCCCUACAACGGGACCGGCACCAGCACCGGCACUGACACAGGACCUAACCCUGG
This is a non-coding RNA of Motacilla alba alba, 779 nucleotides long. Lineage: Eukaryota; Metazoa; Chordata; Aves; Passeriformes; Motacillidae. The record is from the annotation of a RefSeq genome assembly.